GACGAACGCUGGCGGCGUGCCUAAUACAUGCAAGUCGAACGCACAGUUUAUACCGUAGCUUGCUACACCAUAGACUGUGAGUUGCGAACGGGUGAGUAACGCGUAGGUAACCUGCCUGGUAGCGGGGGAUAACUAUUGGAAACGAUAGCUAAUACCGCAUAAUAUUAAUUAUUGCAUGAUAAUUAAUUGAAAGGUGCAAUUGCACCACUACCAGAUGGACCUGCGUUGUAUUAGCUAGUAGGUGAGGUAACGGCUCACCUAGGCGACGAUACAUAGCCGACCUGAGAGGGUGAUCGGCCACACUGGGACUGAGACACGGCCCAGACUCCUACGGGAGGCAGCAGUAGGGAAUCUUCGGCAAUGGACGAAAGUCUGACCGAGCAACGCCGCGUGAGUGAAGAAGGUUUUCGGAUCGUAAAGCUCGGUUGUAAGAGAAGAACGGGUGUGAGAGUGGAAAGUUCACACUGUGACGGUAGCUUACCAGAAAGGGACGGCUAACUACGUG
Molecule: ribosomal RNA, 505 nt
Filed under: uncultured bacterium
Lineage: Bacteria
Description: partial 16S ribosomal RNA
Rfam family: Bacterial small subunit ribosomal RNA
Source: RNAcentral